UACGUAGGGUGCAAGCGUUGUCCGGAAUUAUUGGGCGUAAAGAGCUCGUAGGCGGUCUGUCGCGUCGGCUGUGAAAACCCGGAGCUCAACUCCGGGCCUGCAGUCGAUACGGGCAGACUGGAGUUCGGCAGGGGAGACUGGUAUUCCUGGUGUAGCGGUGAAAUGCGCAGAUAUCAGGAGGAACACCGGUGGCGAAGGCGGGUCUCUGGGCCGAUACUGACGCUGAGGAGCGAAAGCGUGGGGAGCGAACAGG
Molecule: ribosomal RNA, 253 nt
Filed under: uncultured bacterium
Lineage: Bacteria
Description: partial 16S ribosomal RNA
Rfam family: Bacterial small subunit ribosomal RNA
Source: RNAcentral